AGAAGAACAAGCCAGAGAGUUGUACCGGAGACUGAGAGAGAAGCCAAGAGAUCAGAGGACAAGUGGUGACAGCCAAGAAAUAGUACGGUUGCUCUUACAGGCAAUCCAGACCUUCGAAAAAAAAGGUCCGAGUCAUUUAUGCUCAACUCAGUAAAACUGUAGUUUGCAAGCAGAAGGCACUGGAAUUGUUCCCCAGAGUGGAGAAAGUGAUGAAUCUGAUGAAUGAAGAUGAAGAAACGGUUGUAAGGCUUCAGGAGAAACGACAGAAAGAACUGUGGAACUUGCUGAAAAUUGCUUGUGUAAGUAAAAUAAAAACUCUACUGUAUUGUUAAAAUAGCAGCGUAC
RNAcentral lists this long non-coding RNA (345 nucleotides) under Gallus gallus (chicken). The record is from RNAcentral. Lineage: Eukaryota; Metazoa; Chordata; Aves; Galliformes; Phasianidae.